GGUGACAGGUGACAGAGUGAGGGAAGGGGUGACUAGUGACAGAGUGAGGGAGGGAGUGGGUGACCAGUGACAGAGGGAGGGGGUGACACAGUGAGGGAGGUGGUGACUAGUGACAGAGUGAGGGAGGUGGUGACUGUCACUAAUCACUAGUCACCACCUCCCUCCCUCUGUCCCUAGUCACCCCUCCCUCUGUCACUAGUCAACCCCUUCCUCACUCUGUCACUAGUCACCCCUUCCCUCCCUAACGCUGUCAACUAGUCACCACUUCCCUCCCUCACUCUGUCACUAGUCACACCCUCCCUCACUGUCACUAGAGUGAGGG
This 322-nucleotide small RNA is filed under the name Pelobates cultripes (western spadefoot toad). Lineage: Eukaryota; Metazoa; Chordata; Amphibia; Anura; Pelobatidae. The record is from RNAcentral.